This 67-nucleotide small nuclear RNA is filed under the name Rattus norvegicus (Norway rat). RNAcentral's name for it is "U2 spliceosomal RNA". The record is from Rfam by way of RNAcentral. Lineage: Eukaryota; Metazoa; Chordata; Mammalia; Rodentia; Muridae.
AUCGCUUCUCGGCCUUUUGGCUAAGAUCAAGUGUAGUAUGAAUGUGUUAUAGCGCCUAAUACCUCCC